RNAcentral lists this ribosomal RNA (253 nucleotides) under uncultured bacterium. Its description in RNAcentral is "partial 16S ribosomal RNA". It matches the Rfam family "Bacterial small subunit ribosomal RNA", at positions 524 to 776 of the family's 1533-position model. The record is from RNAcentral.
UUCGGAGGGGGCUAGCGUUGUUCGGAAUUACUGGGCGUAAAGCGCACGUAGGCGGCUUUGUACGUUAGAGGUGAAAGCCCAGGGCUCAACCCUGGAAUUGCCUUUAAGACUGCAUCGCUAGAAUUGUGGAGAGGUAAGUGGAAUUCCGAGUGUAGAGGUGAAAUUCGUAGAUAUUCGGAAGAACACCAGUGGCGAAGGCGACUUACUGGACACAUAUUGACGCUGAGGUGCGAAAGCGUGGGGAGCAAACAGG